GGGGGGAUGUCGGAAGGGGGGGGGGGCAAACACGCGGCUCAUUCAUCAAAGCACACUCGGGCCCGGCGGGCAGAAGGGGAAUUAUGACACCGCCAGGCUGAGCGAACUCAGGCGCGGCUCGGGUGUUGAAGGAACGGGAACAUUUUGGUGGAAGAGGAUGAAAUGAAAGAGGACUUGGUUGUUUGUGGGAAGAGGAGGUGAGGAGGGGGAUGGAGGGCGAUGGGAUCUAAAAAUUGGCGCAUACUGAAUUCAAGGCGGAGGUGAGGGUGAACCGUCCAAAGGUGGUUUUUUUCUGAGAGCCGGUGGCCGGCGGCGAAGGACCGUCGAAGACCAGACCAGAUAGAGCGCAAUUGUCUUGUACUGACAAAACUAGCUUGGUGUGAAUUGCUAAUUGAG
Molecule: long non-coding RNA, 396 nt
Filed under: Volvox carteri
Lineage: Eukaryota; Viridiplantae; Chlorophyta; Chlorophyceae; Chlamydomonadales; Volvocaceae
Description: long non-coding RNA (VCAR_LNC001822)
Source: RNAcentral